This 230-nucleotide unclassified non-coding RNA is filed under the name Hevea brasiliensis (rubber tree). The record is from RNAcentral. Lineage: Eukaryota; Viridiplantae; Streptophyta; Magnoliopsida; Malpighiales; Euphorbiaceae.
GUUUAGUUAAAUUUAUCGAUUCCUAUUAUUUAAAAACAUAUUACAUAAUUUUUUUAUUCUUUAAUUCUUGUAUUAUUUAAUUCCCGUAUCGGUAAUUUUCUCUCCUUUAAGAUGACUCAAGGAGAGGAGAUUGCUUCUUAUUAUCUAAGUAAUUAGUCCUGUUAUAAAGUGCUGAGAAAGAAGGGUAAGCCUGCCCUGUCCUCAUGUUCUUCAAUCUUUUUCUUCUAUAG